AGGUGAGGACGAAGGUGAACUCAUAUUUGUUGGUAAGUGUCCUACCUUUUUAUUGCUUUUCCUUUAAAUUUUAUAUAUUUAUAUUACUUAAUGUAUGUAAUUAAUUUGUUACAUUACAGAUGAACUACAAUUUCGAUGACAUUAACGACGAUAUAUUGGCGUGCGUCAACAGGCUCUUCGCUGAACGGUACAAGUAGUGAAAGAUUAACCUACACCAAUAUUUUGAGACAUUUGAUGAUUUGUAGGUUGCUCUUGAGGAGGGUUGCCCAAAGAAGUUUAAGGACCGGGAAGAAAAUUGGGUGUGGCUCUGCAAUCAUUUUCAGGAGCCCGGCUAUGUGGUACAUUUUUUAUUUUAAGUCUAAAAGUGUUAUACGUUUCUUACUAAUGUUUAUAGAUUUUUUUAUUUUUCAUUUAAAUUAGAACUAAUACGUUUAUUUUUUGUAUAACAGAAGAAGGCGAAAGCGAACA
Molecule: long non-coding RNA, 468 nt
Filed under: Malus domestica (apple)
Lineage: Eukaryota; Viridiplantae; Streptophyta; Magnoliopsida; Rosales; Rosaceae
Description: long non-coding RNA (MDOM_LNC015354)
Source: RNAcentral